This 514-nucleotide ribosomal RNA is filed under the name uncultured bacterium. RNAcentral describes it as "bacterial SSU rRNA". It matches the Rfam family "Bacterial small subunit ribosomal RNA", at positions 33 to 518 of the family's 1533-position model. The record is from RNAcentral.
ACGCUGGCGGCGUGCCUAAUACAUGCAAGUCGAACGGCUUUUCUAUGGAAGCUUGCUUCCACUGAGAAGAUAGUGGCGAACGGGUGAGUAACACGUGGGUAACCUGCCCAUAAGAGGGGGGAUAACAUCCGGAAACGGGUGCUAAUACCGCAUAGUUUUCUUGAUCGCAUGAUCGGGAAAGGAAAGACGGCCUUUGUGCUGUCGCUUAUGGAUGGACCCGCGGCGUAUUAGUUAGUUGGUGAGGUAACGGCUCACCAAGACGAUGAUACGUAGCCGACCUGAGAGGGUGAUCGGCCACAUUGGGACUGAGACACGGCCCAAACUCCUACGGGAGGCAGCAGUAGGGAAUCUUCCGCAAUGGACGAAAGUCUGACGGAGCAACGCCGCGUGAAGUGAAGAAGGUUUUCGGAUCGUAAAGCUCUGUUGUAAGAGAAGAACGUUGAGUAGAGUGGAAAGUUACUCAAGUGACGGUAUCUUACCAGAAAGGGACGGCUAACUACGUGCCAGCCGCGGC